AUUUCUGUGCGAGCCCAAUAUAUUGCUGAGAACGAUGUGAGGAAGCGUCAUGUUGCAUCCAUACAUUGCAUACAUAUUAAUGUACAUAAAAGAUAACCCAUAUGUACAUUUUAUCUUUUGGAGCCAUUUUAUCAUGGUUUUCUUGGUGUUUUGAUGUCCAAAUCUGAAUUAGAACAUGGUGAUUCUCCUCAAGUACUUCCAAAAUCUGAAUCCAAAAUCUGACCAUGCCAUCUUUAUCACUCUUAACACUCUAUGCAUGUAUUCUCCUCAAGUAUUUCCAACCCCGAUCCUUUUAGUACUCAAUCUUUCUCUCCUCGCUAAC
RNAcentral lists this long non-coding RNA (322 nucleotides) under Setaria viridis. Its description in RNAcentral is "long non-coding RNA (SVIR_LNC010689)". The record is from RNAcentral. Lineage: Eukaryota; Viridiplantae; Streptophyta; Magnoliopsida; Poales; Poaceae.